Molecule: ribosomal RNA, 463 nt
Filed under: uncultured bacterium
Lineage: Bacteria
Description: partial 16S ribosomal RNA
Rfam family: Bacterial small subunit ribosomal RNA
Source: RNAcentral
CUACGGGUGGCAGCAGUGAGGAAUUUUGCGCAAUGGGGGAAACCCUGACGCAGCAACGCCGCGUGAGCGAAGAAGGCCUUCGGGUCGUAAAGCUCUGUCAAGUGGGAAAAAACGCUUUAGAUUAACAGUCUAAAGAAUUGAUGGUACCACUGGAGGAAGCACCGGCUAACUCCGUGCCAGCAGCCGCGGUAAUACGGAGGGUGCAAGCGUUGUUCGGAAUUACUGGGCGUAAAGCGCGUGCAGGCGGUUUGGCAAGUCAGAUGUGAAAGCCCUGGGCUCAACCCGGGAAGUGCAUUUGAACUGCCUUUCUUGAGUAUGGGAGAGGAGAGUGGAAUUCCCAGUGUAGAGGUGAAAUUCGUAGAUAUUGGGAGGAACACCCGUGGCGAAGGCGACUCUCUGGACCAAUACUGACGCUGAGACGCGAAAGCGUGGGGAGCAAACAGGAUUAGAUACCCUCGUAGUC